GAUGAACGCUGGCGGCGUGCUUAACACAUGCAAGUCGAACGAACCUUCGGGUUAGUGGCGGACGGGUGAGUAACGCGUGAGAAUCUGCCCUCAGGAGGGGGAUAACAGCUGGAAACGGCUGCUAAUACCCCAUAUGCCGCGAGGUGAAAUGAAUUUCGCCUGAGGAUGAGCUCGCGUCUGAUUAGCUAGUUGGUGUGGGUAAUGGCUCACCAAGGCAUCGAUCAGUAGCUGGUCUGAGAGGAUGAUCAGCCACACUGGGACUGAGACACGGCCCAGACUCCUACGGGAGGCAGCAGUGGGGAAUUUUCCGCAAUGGGCGAAAGCCUGACGGAGCAACGCCGCGUGAGGGAUGAAGGCCUCUGGGCUGUAAACCUCUUUUAUCAAGGAAGAAGAUCUGACGGUACUUGAUGAAUAAGCCACGGCUAAUUCCGUGCCAGCAGCCGCGGUAAUACGGGAGUGGCAAGCGUUAUCCGGAAUUAUUGGGCGUAAAGCGUCCGCAGGCGGCCCUUCAAGUCUGCUGUUAAAAAGUGGAGCUUAACUCCAUCAUGGCAG
Molecule: ribosomal RNA, 552 nt
Filed under: uncultured bacterium
Lineage: Bacteria
Description: bacterial SSU rRNA
Rfam family: Bacterial small subunit ribosomal RNA
Source: RNAcentral